GUUUGUAUAUUAAAUGUAAUGGCAGGCAACACUUGACACUUGAUUAGAUUUCGAAUAUUGGAAUUAUUUUAAAUGUUUUAAAAAACAGAUCAUUGUAUUCUCGUAAGAAAAUGUUAGUAACUUCUCAUCUAGACACGGCAAGACAAACAUGUAAUAGUUUUAUUAAAAAAUAUAUAGAUAAUAAUUGUAUUAUGGUUUAAAAGUGUUCAAGCAAUCUGCAAUAUAAUUAUAAUGAAGCAGUUGUGUUUUUAAAUAGCCCCUCAUCACCUACAGAACCCAAUCCCACAAAUUAAACCAUCCAACAGGUUAUGGGCCCAGACCAGAAUUUAUAAGGUAAUAUUUAUUAUAGUUUGCUGAUUAAAACAUCACCUACGCCUACAACAUCACCAUGGAAACGAAACUGUUUGUAAAAAUUUUUCUUAGCAACCGAUAUGUAAUGAAUUUAAUGAAAAUAAAACCAUUAAAAAACAGAAAAUGUUAUAAUAUUUGGCUGAAAUACCAAACAGAAUUAUAAGAGUAUGAGAUAAGGUAAUAGAAGGGAGAACAACAAAUAAAAAAUAAUCGUGAAGACGAAGUCGACAAAGUUCGAGAAGGUGCUAGAGGAAGAUAUGGAGUUAAUGAAGUUCGAGAAGGUGAUAGAGGAAGAAAUGGAGUUAAUGGAGUUCGAGAAGGUGAUUUUAGAGGAAAUAGUAGUAAUGGAGGUAAUGAAGUUCGAGAAGGUGAAAUAGGAAGAAAUGGAGAGUUAGUGGAGUUCGAGAAGGUGAUAUUAGAGGAAAUAAUAGUAAUGGAGGUAAUGAAGUUCGAGAAGGUGAAAUAAGAAGGAAUGGAGAGUUAGUGGAGUUCGAGAAGGUGAUAUUAAAGGAAAUAAUAGUAAUGGACUGUAAUGAAGUAGAAAUGGCGUAAAGUUCGAGAUGUUGUUAAAAGGCGAAAUAAUAGAGAAACAAAUGAAAAUGGAACGAAUGAUAGCAGAUUAACAAAUGAAAAUCUGGUCAUGGAAAACUUUGAGACUUUAAGUGUAUUCAUUUUAAAAAAAAGUGAACAUGUUUCGGGAGAAAUGGGUUAGUUUGUAAGUUUGAUAGGGAAAUUUAAAUGCUAUAUACAACAAGAGGUAUAACUAAAAAGAGACAAGGAUAAUUCAUAAAGUAAGGGGGUGUUUUCAAUGAAUUCAAAAUUAAGGGGGUGCUCUUUUUCAACAGACAUAAACAAUUAAGGGGGUGAUCAUAAAAAUAUUUUUUUUUAUUAAUUAUACUAUAAAUACAAUAGAUAGUCUAGCCGUGGAGGAAGUACACAUUAUUUGAUACAAACAUAUUUACAGUCGUUUUUUAAAAUCCUUUUGAGUCUCUUUUAUAGUUUUGUUUUAUUGUUGUUUUAUAAUAGAUGUUAGGAAUUUUGUUUUGUGUUAUAUUAAAAUAAUAGAACGGAUAUGUGCAAAAAGUGAGAAAAUUUAAGAAGUGAGAAAAAACAAAAGUUAAUGGAAGGUUGUAUGAAUAAUGUAAGAUUGUAUGUGUGAUGUGAAUUCAAAUGUUGAAUUUGUUGAAGUUGUGCGAGGUUAUUUGUUAUGAGUUAUGUGGUUUGUGAGUGGAGUUGAAGGUGAUUAAGGUUAAAGAAGUUAAGAGGGAGAUUAACGUUAAAUAAGUUGAGAAGGAGAUAAAGGAGUUUAAAGGUAAAAGAGUCGAGUAGGAGUUAAAGGUAAAAGAGUCGAGUAGGAGUUAAAGGUAAAAGAGUCGAGUAGGAGUUAAAGGUUAGAGUCGAGUAGGAGUUAAAGGUAAAAGAGUCGAGUAGGAGUUAAAGGUAAAAGAGUCGAGUAGGAGUUAAAGGUAAAAGAGUCGAGUAGGAGUUAAAGGUAAAAGAGUCGAGUAGGAGUUAAAGGUCAGAGUCGAGAAGGAGUUAAAGGUUAGAGUCGAGAAGGAGUUAAAGGUUAGAGUCGAGAAGGAGUUAAAGGUUAGAGUCGAGAAGGAGUUAAAGGUUAGAGUCGAGAAGGAGUUAAAGGUUAGAGUCGAGAAGGAGUUAAAGGUUAGAGUCGAGAAGGAGUUAAAGGUUAGAGUCGAGAAGGAGUUAAAGGUUAGAGUCGAGAAGGAGUUUUAGAGUCGAGAAGGAGUUAAAGGUUAGAGUCGAGAAGGAGUUAAAGGUUAGAGUCGAGAAGGAGUUAAAGGUUAGAGUCGAGAAGGAGUUAAAGGUUAGAGUCGAGAAGGAGUUUAGGUUAAAGAGGUCGAGAAGGAGGUUAUUAAAGUAAAGAGGUUGAGAAGGCGUUUAAGGUUAUUAAAGUAAAGAGGUUGAGAAGGCGUUUAAGGUUAUUAAAGUAAAGAGGUUGAGAAGGCGUUUAAGGUUAUUAAAGUAAAGAGGUUGAGAAGGCGUUUAAGGUUAUUAAAGUAAAGAGGUUGAGAAGGCGUUAAAAGUUUUAAAUAAACUUGAAGAGUUUAUGUAGGAAGUCGAGAAGGAGUUAGACUAUUAUAGUUAGGGUUUUAUAUAGUGAGUCAAGAGGGAAGUUAAGGUUGAAUGGUUGUAUGGUUGAAUGAAAGUAUAUUUUUGAUCGAAUUGGAGUUGGAGAAGUAAGAAAGGAUUAAAGGUAGCGACAUUAAAGAUAGUAUUAAGUUUGAAAGGUAAAAUGAAUAGUUGUUGGUUGAAUUGAGAGGGAUUAAGUGGAAGUAACGGAAUGUAAGUGGUUGUGAGGUUUUAAAGUAUGUAUGGAAAGUAAUUAAUUUAUGAAGGUCAGGUUAGCGUUAUUCUUUUUUGGUAUUAAAUUAUAGACGGAGAAAAAUGUGUGCAAGUGUUGAGGGGGUGUGUUGGAGUUUGUAUAUUAAAUGUAAUGGCAGGCAACACUUGAGACUUGAUUAGAUUUCGAAUAUUGGAAUUAUUUUAAAUGUUUUAAAAAACAGAUCAUUGUAUUCUCGUAAGAAAAUGUUAGUAACUUCUCAUCUAGACACGGCAAGACAAACAUGUAAUAGUUUUAUUAAAAAAUAUAUAGAUAAUAAUUGUAUUAUGGUUUAAAAGUGUUCAAGCAAUCUGCAAUAUAAUUAUAAUGAAGCA
Bombyx mori (domestic silkworm) is the source of this 3027-nucleotide long non-coding RNA. RefSeq lists it as uncharacterized. The transcript has 2 exons. Lineage: Eukaryota; Metazoa; Arthropoda; Insecta; Lepidoptera; Bombycidae. The record is from RefSeq and is a predicted model, not a curated record.